RNAcentral lists this ribosomal RNA (439 nucleotides) under uncultured bacterium. Its description in RNAcentral is "partial 16S ribosomal RNA". It matches the Rfam family "Bacterial small subunit ribosomal RNA", at positions 339 to 795 of the family's 1533-position model. The record is from RNAcentral.
CUACGGGGCGCACCAGUGGGGAAUAUUGCACAAUGGAGGAAACUCUGAUGCAGCAACGCCGCGUGGAGGAUGACACUUUUCGGAGCGUAAACUCCUUUUAUAUAGGAAGAAGAUGACGGUACUAUAUGAAUAAGCGCCGGCUAACUCCGUGCCAGCAGCCGCGGUAAUACGGAGGGCGCAAGCGUUACUCGGAAUCACUGGGCGUAAAGAGCGUGUAGGCGGAUUAAAAAGUCAGAAGUGAAAUCCUAUAGCUUAACUAUAGAACUGCUUCUGAAACUCUUAAUCUAGAAUAUGGGAGAGGUAGAUGGAAUUUCUGGUGUAGAGGUAAAAUCCGUAGAGAUCAGAAGGAAUACCGAUUGCGAAGGCGAUCUACUAGAACAUUAUUGACGCUGAGACGCGAAAGCGUGGGGAGCAAACAGGAUUAGAUACCCCCGUAGUC